RNAcentral lists this ribosomal RNA (381 nucleotides) under uncultured eukaryote. RNAcentral's name for it is "partial 18S ribosomal RNA". It matches the Rfam family "Eukaryotic small subunit ribosomal RNA", at positions 592 to 976 of the family's 1831-position model. The record is from RNAcentral.
CAAUAGCGUAUAUUAAAGCUGUUGCGGUUAAAAAGCUCGUAGUUGGAUUUCUGUCAAGGACAACUGGUCCGCCCCUCGGGUGAGCACAUAGUUUGGUCUUGGCAUCUUGUUGGAAACUGUUGCUGCACUUGGUUGUGUGGCGCAGUGUCCAGCACUUUCACUUUGAGGAAAUUGGAGUGUUUCAAGCAGGCACAUGCCUUUGGACACAGUAGCAUGGAAUAAUUAGAUUGGGCUUUUGCUCCAACUUGUCGGUUUCUGGAGCUGAGGUGAGAAUUAAUGAGGAUUGUUGGGGGCAUCCGAAUUUAGCCGUCAGAGGUGAAAUUCUUGGAUCUGCUAAAGACGGACAACUGCGAAAGCGUUUGCCCAGGAUGUUUUCAUUGA